This 17813-nucleotide long non-coding RNA is filed under the name Solanum tuberosum (potato). RNAcentral's name for it is "long non-coding RNA (STUB_LNC008672)". Lineage: Eukaryota; Viridiplantae; Streptophyta; Magnoliopsida; Solanales; Solanaceae. The record is from RNAcentral.
UUUUUUUUUUUUUGGUAAGAGAUGAAUGAAUAUAAUGAGGUUUUAGUAUAUGUUUAUUAAUUGGUCAAAUCAAAUAUUGGUAUAAUAAUAAUAAUAAUAAUAAUAAUAAUAAUUUAAUAAGAAAAAGGAUAUUUUGUUGGUUGGUGGUGUUAUGGGAAAGAUGGACCUAACCCUUAACUACUUUGGAAAUGAUAUAAUGCACAACAUGGUUUCAACUUUCAAGUCGUUUAGUUGUUGUUAGAUAACUUCCUUUUUUGUGUGUUGGGUGGGGGGGGGGGGGGGGGGGGGGGGGGGGGGGGGGGGAGGGGGGGAUGAGAUUCGAUACUUCACGACAAGGGAAGGAGAGAGGGUUCCGAACCAACUGAGCAACUCUCGAUCAAAUAUCAAAUUGUUAGAGUUUAACUUAUUAUACCUAUAUAGUGAUUGUGUAAAAGAAUUUUUAUAUUAUUAAGAAGUUAUUUAUAAAAAGUGGUACUAACGAUCAAUUCUUAUUGAUUCUACUUUAAUGAAUUCAUUUUCUCGAAGGAUAAAAAAAAUUGAGUAUGAAUCUUCUAGGGUAAUGAUUUGGAAGAUCCAAUAUCAAAAGUUGUAGGGUUGAAAAAUGAGAGACAUGAGGUAUCAGAUUCAAAUUCAAAUGGAGAUAAAAACACUAGAUUGUUUUAAAAAAAUCUGUCCCAAAUAUUCGUAAACAAAGUUAUCUAAUAUCUAUAUGGUAGGAAUUAGUCAAAUAGUGCAAGAUUGAUAUAAGGGGGAAAAAAAAAUUUAGUAUUUAAAUUAAAUAUAUGGUUAAUGGUAAUAAUGGAUGGAUAUUUAAUUGGUUGACUAACUCUAUAUGUAUAGACUAUAUAUAACAAGAUGAAGUUAAUCUUUUGAUAGUUUGGUGAGAUAAUAAAGGAGAUGGUAGCAACUAUAAAGAACUGUUAUUUUUGGUGGACAACGUGGACAUGGCAUUAUAUUAUUUUAUUUUAUUUGGUAUGGGUUUGGUGAGAAAAAUAUGAUAAUUAUUUCAUAAUUUUAAUAUAAAUAUGAUUUUAAAAAAUUAAGUGCUCAACAUGACACUUAUAUUGCACUUUGACCAUCAAUAUAGGUGUUUUUUUUUUCCUUCAUUACAUAGCACAGAAACAAUGAGAAUAUAAUGAAAUUAAAGAUAAAGAAAAUAAUGAUAAUGAAAUAAUGACAGUGACAAUAAUAAUUACUAUGAUGAUAAUGAUAAUCAUCAUUAUGAUACAAUGCCACUUCCAUUAACUCAAUGUGAUUACAGGUUGGAUGGAAAUUGAUGUUUACUUUUUUGGGCAUAAUUAGCUUGAUAUACACAAAUAGAUACGUAAAUUUGUAUAAAAUUAAACAAGUAAUACAUUCUACAUGACAUAAUAUACAUAGGAUGCAAAUUGUCACAUAAAGUGUCACGUUAAAAUAUGUGAGUCUACUUGAUUAACUUUAUACAACUUUAAAUGUCUAUAAGGCACAUUUAGGUAUUAUGAAGAUGACCCUUAACUUGGCUUCAGCAGACAACUAUGCCAUCCAACUUUGAGUGUGUACAAGUACAAAAUUGAACAAGUAGACAGGUGUCCUACGUGGCAUAAUACACGUAGUACGCCAUGUAGGACACAAAAUUGCCAUGUAAGUGUCAUGUGUCUAUUUGUUCAAUUUUAUACAAGUUUAAGUGCCUACUUGUGCACACUCAAAGUUAAAGAUCAUAGUUGUUAGCUGACGUCAAGUUAAAGGUCAUGUUUAUAUAUUAUGCCUUUUUUUCUCCCUUUAUAUAAUUGAGAAAUUUGCAACUCAUAAUUCAAAACUCAAUAGAUAAAAGAUACCACUCCUAUAUAUUUCUUCAUUUAGAUAUCAAGUUUUUAUCUAAACUCCGUGCCGAGUCAAAACCCAGAUAAACAAAUUGCACCAGAAGGAGUAUAAUUCAACUGAAACAAGGAAAGAAUAUAAAAGAGAAAAGAUAGUGUGAAACGGAUUUCUUAAGAACUCAAUUGAACAGAAAACACUGCACAGGGCAGGUCCAAAUCUAAAUACAAGAUGUAUUAUAAACACAGCAGAACUAGACGAUAGCAUAGCCGAUACAAGACAAUGUCUCGUUGGCAUCGCCUUAGGCAGCUCGAUACGAGAAUGCUCUUUCUACUUUAAGAGUUAAGAAAAGAAAACCAAGAGCGGAGAAGCAAAGGGCAACGAACAUAAUCACUAGCAUUGUCUGCAACGAGAUGUAGGGGGCGAGGAAAAAGACUAUGGCAAUUGCAAAGCUCUGCCAAAGCUUAAGUUGGGCAAAUGCUCCUUCCUGUUAAGCACCAAAUGAUUAGAUGUUCAGUGUAAAGAAAACGAUCAUCCAACGAAAGACUGGCAUAAUAUUUGAAGUAACAGAACGGAAUAAGACGCCUCUAGAUAGAAUUCAGCACAUUAUUAACAUGAAUCUUGAACAACAGUGAUGUUUAUACCAUUUUGUUUGGGUAAACCUUAAAUGAGAAUUUAUGGUGAACACAUUAUGUUUCUCUAUUUGAGGAGAUUUCCAUUAAACUACAUUCAAGCAUAUAUCAUUGCUAAACGCCAAAUGUAAGAUCAUGUUUUUUUUACCUCCAUUUAACAUAUUGAACCGUAUGAUCAUCUCAUCUAAAAACUUAAGUUGUUAGAGAGAGCACACUUAGAUUUACUUAAUUAUUUAUUCAACUCAUAGUGUGCUCUCUCUAAAUGUGUAUUUACUUAAUUAUGUCUUCACCCGGUUCUUUUUUCAUGGCCAAGUACAUGGAAAUGCUUUUUAUAACUAGUGGCAGCGAGACUCGAACCCAAUACCUUUCUCUACUUUGAUAUCGUGUUGAAUUGUAUAAAUAUGUCCUAUAAAAGCUUAAGCUAGUAGUGAGAGCACAGCAUUAUUUACUUAAUUAUAUCUACAGAAAAAACUCGAUGCACUUAAAGCUCCCGCUAUGCAUGGGGUCUAGGGAAGGGCCGAACCACAAGGGUUUAUUGUAUGCAGUCUUACCCUACUAUUUCCACGGCUUGAACAGGUGACCUCCUAGCCACAUGGCAACAACUUGACCAGUACUUUAUCAUAUCUACAAUAAAGUAAACAAUAUGCUUCAGCAGUAGAGCCUUCAGACACGUCUGCAUUUAACAAGGGGUCGAGGUCGGGGUCACGAUCUUUCUAACCUACUUCACUUGACCUAGUCAGAACAUGCCUUGCCACACUGUCUAAGCCAUUUUUGUACUAGUUUCUACAUAAUUAAAAUGAAAGAAAAAUAGAAGGGAUCAUCACGUCUUUUCCUGGUCUGCCAAAAUCAAGACCUAUAUCAGUUAACAAGAUUUUGAAUCCCCAUAAAGACAAUGUCCAGGCCACCUUCCUUCCCUAUAGUUUUUAUGUCGACUAGCAUUUCAGGUGAUUGAAGCUUAAACACCACCGGCAACCUUUUGCCACUCAAUGUUAUGCAUGAAUUCUUCGGUGAUGACUAUGAGAUUUGAAUUUCUUUGAUGGAAGAACUCACCCUGGCCCCUGGGCAGUCUAGUCUAUGUAACUUAGCACAGCGACUUAUAACAGCUAUCUUUAUUUGUCGUCCGCAUUAUUCUCAUGACCACUUUUAAUUUCAUAUGGAUCCUUAUAGCUUUGAAUCAGCGGAAAACUUAAAAACGCGGUUAGAGGGAAUCAUACAAUUUUGUACUAUGAUGGUAAAGGCUUUUCAACUUUUAUCAACCACCCUAAGUAUUAUUUUGUACUAUUUUCAGAGAAGACAAAUGUAGGGAAAAGUUGGCAAAUUAGUACCAGAUCAUCCUUGAAGAGUAUCCCGAGCAAUGCACUUAGCUGGGUAUUCAAGACUCCAUCACCUAUGCCCCACAAGGCUGCAACGAGAAGUGGAUAUAGUAUGCCGAGAGCUCCAGCAGUCACACUACAAUAGAGGAAGUACAAUAAGAUUUCAAGUACCAGUGUCAACUUCUUCCAAAAAGUAACAAGGGAACAUUACACGAAGCAAACCUGUGAGCCAGUAGAAUCCAUACCAAUACAGCACCCUGAACUAAAGCUCCACCCGAGACAAUUAUUGAGAUAGAUGAGAGACCAAAGGUGAAAUGACCAGCCACUAGAGAACACUGAGACAAUGACCACCCAAUGAUACAAUAGAAUAACUAUCACAGCAUUAUAUCAGAUAAGUUCAAAUUCUGCCUGGGUACUACUAUCAAAUCUAACAAACCCACAGUUCUAUAGAGAAUGUGCAUGCAGAGUUACAAAUUUUGAAGUAAAUUUGAAAAAGCUUACUGUAAUAAGUAAUGUCUAAGAUUUGCAUAAACCUAUUUGAAAGCAUUACAAAAUAUAGCUAUGAUAGAAUAUCUAAAAACUGUAUAGUUUUAUGACAAACUAGAUAAAAUUAGUGAGCAACCAAAACCAAUGCAGCAAACAUUGCAGAGGUAGUAUGUCAAUCCAUUGGAUUAGGGUCAUUUUUUGUCUUAAGUUCUAAAUUUCUUCUUUUUUUUUGAUAGGUAAAUAAUUUUAUCAGUCGUGGGAAAAUCUCCAUACUCGGGCAGUAUACCUAAAUAUGAAUAAUUUUUAUUCCAGACACAGUAAAAUUCAGGCAGGUAUCAAGAUUAUGUAUGAGUUCAGAACUUCCUGUAAUUGUGUUAAUGGAAAAGUAUAUAUCUGGAGCUGCCACAAUCUAGAGUACCUACACUUUCUCUCGAUUAGCAAAGGUCGAUUUAAUAGAAAACAUGUAUUGUGCCUUUAUAUUAGUCAUGUUAUUAUUUUCUGUAUAUACAGUUUAAACUAAUGUGAUUUCUUCAUAAGUUUAAGAGAGAACAUGUUUACAGUUAUGUAGGAUGUUUUCACAAGGGAAGGAACAGAAAUGGCUAUGUUGUGCGAUCAUAGUCAUAUUAAAGUUACUUACUAAUCGUCCAAAUAAGUUGUCAUUGAACUGUUAUAAUAAUAUUUGAAGAUUUUUCAAUGUUUACGAACAUGAGCAAACGCUCUUUGACUCUUCUUUUUAUAUUCACUGGGCUCACGUGAAUAAUUGAUUUACACAGUUCCUUCAGUCACGCUGAGAAAACUAAUACUAUAUAGGGAAUAAUUGUAACAAGAUAUUAGUUGCACUUAAGUAAAAGCUCUCUGUCAUCCACAUCAGUUUUUACUCUCAAUACAAAGUAACUCAAGAACAGUAUUCUAGUUAAAAUUCUAUCAAACAUAAUAGAUAAUAAAUUGCACUUUGAUUACAACAUAAUUUGCCACCAAUUAGCACUAUACAGUAGUUAUAUAUUUCCCAGACACAAGAUCUUUGUAUCUUAAUGACUUAAAUGCACCUAAAAUACAGCUAGAGUAGAUUGUUUGCAAUGACUAUUUAAUGGAUGAUCUGUUACUUGGGUUAGUUUUCAAUCCAACGCCACUACGCUUCUAUCCCUCAAGAUUAUCAAUUACUCUCUCAGACCGUAGUACAUUCAUUACUAUAACUACCUUAGUAUAAAUAAAAAUGCAACAAAAAAUUAUAAUUAAAGGCGUACAAAAGACUAGAAACACAACAAAAGAGAAUGUGAAAAGGACAAAUUUACUGCUCUAGUUUCCUCAUAGAAGACUGAAGAACAUACCACAACGGUGGCAAACAUGUCAAUAGCAUGCCAUCCAGUACCAUAAAGAGUAAAAGCAGUUUGCUCAAAGAAACACAGUCAAACUCCAAAACGAGUCAACCUAUGACUCGUUAUGGGCUGCCUUUAGGGGCAAAAAGAAAGGGCAGAAGCAUUUGGCAGGGGGUUGUUGAUAGGUGCAAGAAUAAGCUCACUCCAUGGAAAAAGCAAUACCUAUCUUUUGGGAGCUGGUCGAUUCUUACUAACAGUACCUUGGAUGGGAUUCCUACAUACAAUAUCUCUUAAUUCAGUAUGACUACAACAGUUGAAAGGAAAUUAGACUCUAUAAGGAGAAACUUCCAAUGGGUUGGGAACUCAAACUGAAAAAGGACUCAUCUGAUCAAGAGGCAAACAGUUACUAAAGAAAAAAAGGAUGGUGGACUGCGGGUAAGGAAUCUGAAAAUGCAUAAUAAAAUACUUUUUUAAUGGCUCUAGAGAUAUAGUAAGGAAAGUGAUGAGAUUUGGCAGCAAGUUUUGGAUGCUAUAUAUGGUGCAAAGUUACAAAAUCCUUCACAAUUGAAAAGCUGUGGGGAAAUCUGGAAGAUGAUUAGUGAUUGAUGGGAUGAAUUUCUACCGGUCACUAGAUUAGAGGUGGGAAAUGGUAGGAGGAUUAGAUUUUGGAUGGACACUUGGUGUGGAAAUGAGAGCUUCAAAAGCAGGUUUCCGGUCUUGUUCAACAGUGCUUUGAAUAAAGAGGGUUAUCUUGUAGAAUUUAAUUCAGCAACUGAAUGGAGUGUUACUUUUAGAAGAAAUCUAAAUGAUUGGGAAAUAGACAGUUUUUGCCAACUACUACCUACAACAAUUGAAUUCAUGUUCAAUAGAACAAGACAGAGCAGACAGGUUAGUUUGGGUUAACAGUAAGGAUAAGGUAUUCUCGGUUAAUAACUGCUACAAAAUGUUGUUGCAACAGUUUAGUCCCUCACUGGCCUGGAAGAUGAUUUGGGAAACCAAAUCACCUGUGAAAGCAGCUUCUUUUGGUUGGCUAGCAGCUAGGGAUGUUUGUCAAAUACAGAUCAAAUUAAGGAGAGAUUUUUCCUUGUGUAGCAAAUGCUAUUUCUGCAAUUCAUAGGAAACCACUGAACAUCUUCCCUUGCAUUGCAGAUUUUCAAGACAAUGCAGGGAAAUUUUCUUUAGCAUAAUGGGCGUAUCUUUGGUGUUACCAGAGAAAAUUAGUAGCUUGUUGGUACUCUUUAAAUAAAAUCCUUACUUAACAAAAAAAUGAAGCGGUUGAAUUAGUCUAUUACUGAUUUUGCAUACUUACAAUCGCAUCAAAAACCCCAUAUACGGCCAUUGCACCACCAACACCACUCUCUCCCAUCGUAGGCUGAACGAUAUACUUUGUGAAUUCAGCCCUGAAACACAUUGUAAAUCAAAAUACAGCAGAAGAAGCUCCAAACUCUACUAUAAUGAACUAUUAGAAGCAUCAUUUACCAUACAAAUGCUUGUUGUAAACCUGAAUAUGCAAUAAGAGGGAUGAUCAAAAGCAUUCUUAUGUCUUGUAAAAGGGUAAUGAUAGACUUGAGCAAAGUUGCCACAGAAGAAACGGAACUAGCGGAGGAGUCUUGCUGUCUUGCCUCCUCUUUACCAGCUCUCUUACUUAAGAAGCACAUCAAAACGGCACCAAGGGUUACGGUACAAACAAAAACCAAGAAAAGUACAGUUGUUCCACUAGUGCUUCCUCCCUGUAGCAUCAGAAAACUAGCAAAUCUUAGUGAAAGACAAAAAAGAUCUUCAACAGUUGAGCAUUUAAUCUCAGUAGAUGCUUACCUCUUCGUCUCUCAUCAAAGCAAGAGUGAUAAGAUUUCCGACAAACUGCAGGAUGAUGAAAGUUAUGUGCAUGGAAAUAUCAUGUGAGUAGAAAUAUAUAUUAAGAAGCUUUACUUGCAAAGUUCAUAAAAGGUACCUGAUGACUUGCAAAUAUUCCCCAGAAUACACCAUUGAAUUUACCAAUUAUAACUGCUUCAUUUAAGAUAUGAUCAUUUGCAUGACUGCGUGCUGCGGAAGUAAGAUAUGUUCCCUAACCACAAAUGACAAGAUUAAGGUUAUUGCUGAAGCCAAAAACAAAGUUCAACUCCUAAAAGAAAGUCAUACCUGCCCAACCCAUAUUAUGGAGGCAGCAAAACCAAGGUAUAAAGAAGCUGGGACCAUGGUAUACCUACAAGAUAAUUUAAUCAGUUGCUGACAAUUGAAAUUCACGAACAUCCUAAACAAACAUGUAUCAAGAAAAAAAAACACCCAAAACCUUCCAAAGUGUUAGCAUUAAGAAAGAAAGCAUAAUCCAUAAAAGAUGGGUAGUAGAAAAGGAAAACAGGAAAAUUGUGUAAAUGGACUAAAUUUAUAUCUAUGUUUGAUGCAGGAAAGAUAAGUACGUGCCAAAUAACUGAAACACAAUUUUAACAUAAUUAAUUUUGAAUAAUUAUAUUUUAAAAUCUCACAGGAAUGAGGCAAGAAUUAAACUCAUAUUGUAAAAUCAAGAUGAGUGAACUUUUAAAAAUGUUCUGAUCAUUUAUGAGGAAUGUUAAAGGUCAUUGACUAAUUUCCUUAGCAUUAGGCCCAUUACGAGCCCAAAAUAAGAUAUACAUAGUCUAUAGCUCAUUUAUAUCUUUUCAAAUAAAGUAUAACUUAGUCAUAUCCUAGAAAAUCAAGAGAACUCGCGUCUCAUGGUAAAAAUACAGGAAUAUACAUGAAAAGAGAAGAAUUUACGGAAAGUAAAAUCUAUACUGGAAGUGCAACCAGACUAAUGUACCAUUAAGUCCCAGAUGUAAGCAUAUGAUUCACCUAGCACCUUCACUGCCCUUGGAAAUUAGUAUUUUCCAAAGUACCAAGCUCCCAAAUUAAAUUUAUGAGAAAUGAAGAAAGGCAAGAGUAAUUGUAGGAUGCUAUGUCUAUUAUCCUGAAACAUUCAUUUUCAGAACACGACUUAGUCGCUGCUUCUAUGUCUCAAAUAGAAGAAAUAGUUGUCUAACAGUGCAUCAAAUCAUGUUAAAUGUUGUCACUUUGGACCACAUGAACCAAGCAUAUCUUUUGUCUGGUACAUAAGUAAAGAAAAGAAGGCUCUAUGCCUGAUUCGAACUAAACUUGAGGGAAAAGAAGUCAUAGAAAAUUUCCCCUAGGAAAUUAAAUCUUAGAGCUAUCAAUGGAAAAACUUUAGUCAUACAACACUCUGAGUUCUAAGAUCAAGAUAGAAUUGUUCAAGAAAUCUCAAAGAUGCAAUACAGAUACUACCCAUUUAAAUAAUAUUGACUUUAGUUCCUUUUCUUUUUUGAUAAGGAACAUUGACUUUAAUUGUUAUGGAACAACAAAACAGCUCCCAACUUGGUUCUGAUGAUUUCUUCAAGUGAAAGGUAAGGAGGAACAGCAGAGUUAUCCAGAGCCAACUAAAAGUCAUCAUAGUCUUCCAGGGAUACACACAUCUAUCGAGCAUCAUACCCAACUCAAUAAACUCCUUUACAGCCCAUUUGUUGCAGCCACAACAGAAAACGAUGAAUAUUUGAAUAAGCCACUAAAUAAGUCCAGCCACAGCGAUGGAGAAGAUUCAAGCUUUAACUACACUAUAAUGCAUUAGGACUACUAUCAAGUAGAGACAUCUGUAGUCUGUUGUUUAUGGACUGCUUUGUAAAAACAAGCAUUCACAAUAACUGACUAGAGACUAGAGGGCAUCGCCAUCUCUGAUAGAGCAAGCAGACGUUGCUACUGUUAACUGUUUUAGGGGCUUCAGUUAUCAUAUUCAGUUAACCAAUGAGCAAAACAGAUUCAUCCUCAAGCAUUUCUUCAUUUUCUUCCAGAGUCUGACUCUAUGUUUCUAUGGUCUUCCAGUUUGUCUUUCUGGCAUUACCUAGGAGAGGAGAAUUCCGAUGUGACUAAGCAAUAGUCCUUCCUUGACAAGAAUGUGCAUAAAGAUUGAUGGCAAGUUUGCCCUGAUAAUGCUGUUACUAAUUCUAUUAACAUCAAAAGGACGACUAUAACAUAGGUUUGGCUGGCUUCUAUGGUCUUGCAGUUUGUCUUUCUGGCAUAACCUAAUUUUCAUAAAGUGAUUGUUAAACCAGCUAUGUUGUAUGGGGCAGAGUAUUGGACGGUCAAGAACCCGCACAUUCAGAAGAUGAAAAAGAUUAGGAAUGCAGAUAUUCUGGACAAGGUGGGAGUGGGCCCCGUGGUAGACAAGAUGAGAGAGGUGAGACUGAGAUGGUUCGGGUAUGUGAAGAGAAGAUGUCCAGAUGCCCCAAUGAGGAAGUGCGGGAGGUUGGCAAUAUGGAUCUGAGGAGAGGUAGAGGUAGGUCGAAGUAGUACUGGGGAGAGGUGAUUAGACAGGACAUGACACACCCGCUGAGAGGUAGAGGUAGCUCUGUAAUUACUUCAAUAAACUUCUUUGUGGCUAAUGCCACAACCUCACUAGGAGAAAUAUGAAAUCUGAUAGACCUCUAUAUUUAUUCCAAUGGAGUACAAGAUUCCUAUCUCCACUCACAUUAAGGAUCCAUAAGCACACAAACAUUGUUAAACGCAAAUCCAAUUACAAAAGAACUACAAUCACAACUCACUUCAUAAAAUUCGAUCACUACCAACUCAAUAGCCUAAAUCCUAAUCCUUCCCUAUUGGUCAAAGAUUUAAUCUUGGAAAAGCAAAAUGCACUAAACAUAAGAUAACUCAUACCAAUUAGGCAUCAAAUUGGCAGCAACAAACAACCAAUAGCCAGUAGUGCCAAGGAUCAAAGCAUUCUUCGACCCAAGCUUCCGAACCACCAAUGAAGCAAAUAUUGAGCAGAACAUAAAUGACAAAUACAAUAUCCCCAGUGAAAUGGUCCCUAAAUUUCCUUCCUGAAACACAAAAAAGAAAAACUCAAACUCACUAUCACAGUAUCACUUCGUCUAAGCUCGCAAUUGGCCAUAGAUUUUGAAAAUUUAAUCUUUAAACUCUGAUCACUUUUUGGGGCUUCCACUCACAAAACUUCAAACUUUUUCCAAUUAAAAUACACUUCCAAACACAACUUCAAAUUCAAAAAAUCACAACAAAAACUCAAAUUUCAAAAACUAUAGCCAAAUGGGAGCUUAUAAGAGCCAAACAAACUCUAUCCAAAAUCACAAUUCAACACUAAAUAACCCCAAAGACUUCAUUAAAAAUAGAUAAUACACAAAAACCUUACUGUAUUGAUAGUGCUUUCAAGAUUCUGAGCAGCCCCAUAAGCCAAAAAAAUCAACAAAAAAGCAGAGCUCAGAAUAUAAACAUCCCUUUCAUGAUUCACAAUUGAGUUCUCAUUUUUCGAAAUUUCAACAACAAGGGGUGCUUCCUCAUCCAUAGCCAUUGACAAACCAAAAAAAUAUCAAGAUCAACAAACUUACAACAAAAUAACCACAACCCACCAACAAAUUUAUGUACACAAAUAUAUAUAUACAAAAAAAAAAUCUUUUUUUUGUCAAAAGAAAGAGAAAUUGAGUGACACCAUUUGCCGGCAAAAGGAACUAUAAAGAAAAGUACAUAUAGAAAAAGCUUAAGCUACUGAAGAGAACUGAUGAAUAUGACAAUAACAAAACUUCAGCGGCCAUAGAUUAAUGUUUGUUGAGAAAUUUUUAGUAUAAUAUUUUUUUAAUUUUUGGACAAAUCAAGAUUCUUUUUUUUUCCAUAGAAACAGACAAAAAGAUUUGAUUUUUAUUUAAAGUAAAGCAACUUUUAGGAAUAAAAAAUUAGCACAUGAACCAUGAUUACUGAUACCCGAUUUUUUACGUGCCAAUCGAACACUCUAACUUACAAAAUAAUCACUUAUGUAUUAUAUCAGCGUAAGAUAUACACGAGAUAUAAUAGGAAUAAAUUGAAAUGUUUUGUUGUCAUUUGAAAUUAAGUUAAAGUGUUUAGAUGUACAUUUUCAAAAUUAAAAUAAUAAAUUAUCAAUUGAGACCAAAUUUGAGUGCGUAAUAUUAUGCAAAAAAAAAAUUAUGUUCAAAACUAAAAUAAGUCUUUUUUUCUUUAUUAAAUGUUGUGUUAAGCAGUGAAGAUGCAACUAUUUAGCGAUAGGUUCAUCUGAAUUGAGUAUUUUCCAUGUGAAACAUUUAUAUGUGAAAGUUUAUUAGAAAUAAAAAGUAGAUUCAAACACAUAUAAAAUACAAUAGAUUCAAUUUUAAAGAUUAAACUCAUAAAAAUUAAAUUCUGAAUUCAUCGUCGAGUUAAACUACGACGAAGAAAGUAAAAUAGUAGAAGUACUACACUACAUGUUGGAUAAAGUUUUAUUGGCACUUAAUAUUUAUAUCAAAUAAUACUUUAUUGUCUUUACAAAAUUAAGUCAUAAUUUAAGAUAAAAACAUGUACUUAUCAUUGCAUGAUAAAUGGGGUUAAUACCUCAUAUGGUCACUCACAUGGUGACUUUUUAGUGAAAAUUAAAAGUUGAGUGACUUUCUGAGGUAAAAGUGGAUAGUUGAGUGACUAUCUGAGGUAUUAACCCUGAUAAAUUUUUACUAAUAAGCCAAAGGCUAUUUGAACUGCUAAUGAAGCUAUUAAUUAAAAAGCACUUAUAAUAUUCAUGAAUAUUAUAAUGAAAUUUUCAUAUUAUCAAAUAUAGUUUUAAAAAUUAUAUCUAAUUAGCUUUUAAAUUAUUUGCUGGCCUAGAAAUUUUUUAAUGAAUAGCUCCAAAAACAGAAAUUAAAUUUAUUCCCAGUUAGAAUAGAGAAGUGUCUCUCUAAAAUUGAAAAAAUAGUACUUAUACACAACAAUUUGAUAAUUAUUUGUUACAGACUAUCAAAGAUUUAACGAAAUGGUAAGUACUCAUAGGUUUCGGAUUCGAGCCUUGUUUGCAGAGUUACUUUUAGUAGGAAGCGUUUCGUCUCCCUAAGAAUAGUACUAGUAAUACUAGUGGUAUGAAAGCAAAAGCAGAUACGGUGCUCCAAACUACCACCAAGCAUGUCCAGAAAGCGAGACAAUGCUUAACUAAGGAGAAUAAUAGCCUGCAUCAACAAAUAAAAACCAAUUUAUUUCUAUUUAAAUUAACUAGAUAUACAAAUCAGGUCGUUAGUGAAAUCCUUAAAAAUCAAUGUUGAAAACAAGAAGUAUUGAGUUAAUACUAUCAUUUUUCGCAAGUUUCACAUCUCAACUAUCAGUUGUUCCAUUUUUCUACUGGAACUAUCAUCAUCUAUGUAUUAAAAUACACCUUGAAACCAAUAAGGCCAACUAUCAGUUGUUCCUUUUCCUACCAGAACUGUCACCAUCUACUCAAUUAGAGUGUAAAACUCGUAAAAAAGUGAUAGUUCAGAUGUGUUUCGACCAUUAUGUCCAUUUAAAGCCCUUUUUAUUAGUGAGAAUGAAAAGCAAUUCAAUUAUUUAAGUAAACAACACAAUAUGAUUAUAUGAAAUCAAGGAUAUCCAUUUAUGAUAUCUUGUAUACUAGUAGACUUGUGGGGUGAAAGGGAAUCAAGGAAGGAGUAAUCAAUAAACUAUAGAGUUCAUGUAAUAGGCAUCGUCAGUUCAAACAAUUUUACACCAUCAGGUCAUCUGUAUUUAUUGUAAAUAUCCUUUAGAUGACUUGAGAGUGUAAACAGUUAUUUACAUCGACGUGUACAAAACUUAAACUAUAAACUAUAUAAAGGUACAAAUCAAUUGGCAAAAAGAAAUGAAAGCUUCAAAGUCCAAACCUUAGUCACUAUGGCCCUUAGGAGAUGAUCAGGAAUCGAAUUCUCGAGGGUAUACAUGGACCUUGAACCCCUCAUCUUCUUGAAUUGAGAUAAUCGAGUUCACAGAAGAACGGCUGCACCAGUGUAGCUCAACACUGUGUAGCGUUGAAACAUCGCCUAAGCAUGAAGGGAACUCCUUAAGUUUCUUACAACUUUGCAGAACAAGAUGCUCAAGGGAAGGUAAGCAAUCAGAUGAGAUGUUCCAUUGUUCAAUGUUCAAAGAGUCUAACUUCAAGAAUCUUAGUUUCAGGAACUCUCCGUCUUUCAUGUCCCAUUGCACACCCUCAAAGGCUCGGGCAAGUAGUUUGAGAACCUCAAGGUGUGGUAAGCUACCAAUUCUUGAAAUUUCAGUCCAUGGUAGCUGAAACUUUGGCAAUGUCAGUCUUUUGAGAUUUGAGGGGAAGUUGAACUUACAAGAAGAAAAUGACUGACCAUAGUGUAAUAUCUUGAGUGAUUCAAGUCGACUCACACACUCCAGUGAUGGAAAAUGACAGCAGUCCUCCGAGUCAACUGAUAUGCAUCUCAAUUUCCGAAGAUUAGGUAACCUUCUCAUUACCUCAUUAGGAUCCAUGGCAUGAUCUUUGUUAUAGAUGAGGGCCGGAGUGGAAAUGGUUUGCAGGUUUUCUAGUUGAAUCAAAUUCCAUCCAUCACAGCCAAAAACAGCACGUGCAUCGACAUGAAGAUGUCUCAGUCUUGAAAGUGUGUAUGGCAAACAAACUUCACCUCUCAAGGCUUUCAGAAGAAAUGUUUCAAGGUACAAGAGUUUCCAACAUUAAUGCAUCCCAAAUCCAACACGCGAAGUAAUCUAAAACCGAGACAUAUAGGAGAGAUAUCAUAUGGUUUUGUCAAGGAUUUGUCAUUAAUGUCAAAGAACAACAAAGAACGAAGCUGUGGUCCUGAUGGCCUAGACUUGACAAGAAAACUCUCCCUUUGUGAAUAGAUGCAUAACCUACGUUGAGUAUGUCUGGUAUACAGUUCUUCAGGAGAUAGAGAGUAUGUUGACUCCAAAAUAUCGUCUAGAUCAUCACAAAGAGUGUGCUUGUCCUCCUUAUAUAUAAGCUCAAAAAAGUUCUCUUCUUCAGCUUUUCUCUUGCAAUAUUCAAGCAACAGAUCAUGAACAUGACAGACUUUAACGGAGCCAUUCGAUCUCUUUUUAGCAACCAUUACCAGGCUUCUUCCUAUCAAGUCCGUUAAGUAGUCCUCUGCUACAUCCUCAAAGCUCUUGCCAUCUAUUUGUGGAACAAACUCUUCCGCCAUCCACAACUGUACCAAUUUCUUGACAGAUAUGUGAGGAUGCUUUAGAAAUUUACCUAAUUAAAGGAAGCAUGGUUUUAAAUGAUCAGGCAAAUGCUUAUAGCUCAACUCCAAAAUGACUGAGCAUUGAUUGGGAUCAUCAACAAUAUAUGUACUUAUGCUCUCCGCGACUUCAUUCCACCAAGAUUCUUUCUUUUCUGUCUUAGCCAGAAGCCCAGCUACCAUGUAACAGCAAGAGGAAGUCCUUGACAACAUUCUGCAAUUUGCAUUCCAGGUUCCUUUAGAUUUCGGGGGCAGCAAUCUGUUGCAAACACCUUCUUCUGUAAUAACUCCCAACUUUCUUCAACAUUGAAAUGCCGAAGAGGAGUAGGAUGAUUGUCAGGCUUCGUAUCAGAUUCAAUGUAUGAAGCCAAACCUUGCAGUUGAGUUGUGACCAUUAUUCUACUACCAUUGUCAUCGUCUAUAAAUGACCUCUGCAAGUCAUCCCAAGCCUUGAUAUCCCAAAGAUCAUCAACGACAAUUAGGUACCUCUUCCUCUUUAACUUUCUACACAACAGUUCAGCUAAAUCCGCGUCAUCCUUCAUCUUAGUCACUUCAUCAACUUCCUCGAGAACUUGGGACAACAUCUCCAAGAGCAACUCUUUCUUUUUAUAUACUUUAGAAACAUAACACCAUGCACAUUUGUCAAAGUGAUUGAACCUUUUCAUCAUUGAACACUUUUUUUGCAGUAGUCGUCUUGCCAAGUCCAGGCAUGCCAACAAUUGAAAUCACAUCACGCUCUGUCAUCCUUCUGGCAAGGCCAUCAAUGAUAUUCUCUACCACAUCAGUGAAACCCACCACUACAUCAUCGUGGAACGUUGGAGCAUUAGUUCGUGAUAAUUCACAGGUGGAAACCACUCGAACAUCACAAAUUGUUUCAAAUGUUAAUGUUCUAGAUAUGUCACUGAACUCUGCCUGAAUCACCUUAAGUUGUUCUACAACAUCAGACAUCUCAACCACACUACACCAGAUGUUUUGGUCCCCAACCAAAAAUGAGUCAAUAUAUAGCAUAUUCCGCCUCAUAGGCCUCUUGCAUAACACGUGCCUUCAGAUGCUCAUUGUUCUGCUUGAUAACAUCCCAGAGAUUCUUCUUCAGAUACUCUAACGCGUCAUGCACUCUUGCAACAUGAUGUUUGGGAAAAGGAAUGCGAUCAGCUUUAUGGAGGAGGAGUUCUUUCAAAUUUCCUAAAAAGGAAUUGAAAAGGCCUAUGUCUCUUGCCACUCUCUUCAUGAUUCUAGUUCUUUCUAGAUAAACAGAAGUGGCUAACUCCAUUUUGUUCAGCAUGUCUUCGUUCGAUGCCUUAUUACUGAGUGACAUAAUAAGUGAUCCAACCAUCGACAAUGUAACCCUCCCUUGUGUGAUAAAAACAUUUAAUUCACUUCCAAGAGAACGACAGUCGUCUGGUGCCUUGCAGAAACACUACUUCCUCAUAAAGAAUUUGAAUUCGAUCCUCUUUACCAACUCAGGAUGGGCUAUUAAUGCAAUGUGUAUCAGGAUCAACUUUACCAACUCAGGAUAUUGCUCAGGAAUAUCUUUCAGAAACAUCAAGUACUCAACAAGGCCAUUGAUUUUCCAGGACACAAUCAGCAAAUUCCACCACAAAUUUGUCACAAAAAUGUGAAUCAGAACAUUUUGAGCUUAAAACAGUUGCAUAAACUUGUGUAACUUCUGCUUUCGAAUCAUUAACCUUUUCCGAGGCAUUAGAAACCAGUAGAGCCAUGUGGAUAGGCACGUUUCCGUCUAUACUCUUAACAUAAAGAGAUUGAAAAUCUGAUUCUGCAUUCUGCACCAGAGUUUCUACAUGCAUCAACAAUCCUGAGAAGCCUUAAAUCCGCUUUAAGGGUCCGGAUUUGAUCCUUCGUUGAAGGAGUUGAGUCUUCAUGACUGUCUAAACAAUCCAGACAUUUCAAGAGAUUGUUAACAACACUAAAGUCCAUCCCUUCUGUCCUAUACAACAAAAAUGAAAAAAUCAGCCCAUAAACGAAAUCUCCCAAGAAACUGUGACUAGUAUUUAGUAAAAAUACAAGAAGAAGAAGAACCAAACACUUAUCAUGAUUUAAGCUCUGCUCAUCUCUGUCACCCAAACUAUAAUCCAAAAUCGAUAUCAUGUAAUGUAUUAGCAUUUUCUUGUUUUAAAUACCGGUAGUGUUCAGACCAGCUUGGGCCUUGGGGCAUGUCACGAGGUACCUAUUAUCUCUCACCAGCACAGAUACCAAGUAACUUUGCAUACUGAGACCUUGGUAGAUGAGAAGAAAUCACUUAGCGUUUUUCGCCUUGCUAUGAUUUGAACCUGAAACUCAUGAUUCUCGUCCUACUUCAUUAACCACACCAUUGAGUGUUAGGUAAAUAUUUAAUCACUAAUGUCACCAUUCCAUUUACAUAACAAUGAAGACCUCUUUUUAAAAAAAUUGAUAAAUCAUAGCAUACGGAUGAAAAGGAAAAUGCACCCGUGCAGAGGCGGAUUUGGCCUUUUGGUUAUGGGUUCAUCUGAAUCUAUGACUUCGAAAAACGAAGUACAAAUAUACACAUAGAAAUUACUAAAAUCUCAAUAAAUUUUAGAUUUUGAACCCAUACUUUUAACAGUACAACAAGUUCUGAGAAUCUUAAAAAAACUCAUUAAGUUUAAAUCAUGAAUCCACCUCUGUCAGUACCCACCAUUCAUAAAUCAUUAUUUUUUCAAAAAAUACUAAACGAGGCAAGACAACGCAACUUCUUGUCAAUUGAGCAGAUUCACAUAAGAAGUAUUAAACUUUAUAUUGCACGUGUAAUUUGUCAAUAGUGACAUGUUAUACUAAUACCUAACAAUACACUUCAACCUAAUAAAAAGAAUGGUUUGGUUCUCCAACAUUUGGUCCAAAAGUGAAAAAACACACUUGACCUGGGAAUGUAUUAUUUUCACUAUUAUCGCAAAAAUGUAAUUGCCAAAGAAAAAAUAUAUGAGGAUGAGGAAAACAUGGAACCAGCAGGGAAUAAAGUAGGCAACGUCUUAUACUUGAGGAAAAAAGGAAGUUGGAACACAACAGCAACUGUAGUUAUUUGCUACGACAAAAAGUAUAUCAAGAUCAAAUCGCCUGACGAAAAUUUCAACCCUCUCCAUACAGUCGGAAAUGUCCUAGCCAAGAAUUGCUACUCUUGAGCUCAUAAUACCCACAUAACCAAUCUCUGAUACAUAUUAAGGUAAAAUGCAACAAAUUGAAUUUCUUGAACCAAAAUGCCGAGGAUGCAAGACUUGAGUAUAAGCCACUGCACGACUCAUCAGUUACUAACCCUCAUUCACCGCC